AGUGAACGCUGGCGGUAGGCCUAACACAUGCAAGUCGAACGGCAGCACAGUAAGAGCUUGCUCUUACGGGUGGCGAGUGGCGGACGGGUGAGGAAUACAUCGGAAUCUACUUUUUCGUGGGGGAUAACGUAGGGAAACUUACGCUAAUACCGCAUACGACCUACGGGUGAAAGCAGGGGAUCUUCGGACCUUGCGCGAUUGAAUGAGCCGAUUUCGGAUUAGCUAGUUGGCGGGGUAAAGGCCCACCAAGGCGACGAUCCGUAGCUGGUCUGAGAGGAUGAUCAGCCACACUGGAACUGAGACACGGUCCAGACUCCUACGGGAGGCAGCAGUGGGGAAUAUUGGACAAUGGGCGCAAGCCUGAUCCAGCAAUACCGCGUGGGUGAAGAAGGCCUUCGGGUUGUAAAGCCCUUUUGUUGGGAAAGAAAAGCAGCAGGUUAAUACCCCGCUGUUAUGACGGUACCCAAAGAAUAAGCACCGGCUAACUUCGUG
RNAcentral lists this ribosomal RNA (492 nucleotides) under uncultured bacterium. RNAcentral's name for it is "partial 16S ribosomal RNA". It matches the Rfam family "Bacterial small subunit ribosomal RNA", at positions 29 to 507 of the family's 1533-position model. The record is from RNAcentral.